UUUUAGCAUAUAAGUAAGCGGAGGNGCAAGAAACUAAACAGGAUCCCCAUAGUAAUGGCGAAUGAACAGGGAUGAGCUCAGCAUGGAAAUUGGGGCCUGUGGCUGUGACUUGUAAUCUUGUGAGGCAUUGCCAACAGAGGCGCAGAUGUAAGUCUCUUGGAAAAGAGCAUCAAUGAGGGUGAGAGUCCUGCUUGUCAUUUGCAGCCCCCCUGUGCACGGUGUGCCUUCUAAGAGUCACGUUCCUCGGGAUUGGAGCGCAAAGUGGGUGGUAACUUUCAUCUGAAGCUAAACAAUGGUUUGGGACCGAUAGGAAACAAGUACCAUGAGGGAAAGGUGAAAAGGACUUUGGAAAGAGAGUUAAAAGUGCCUGAAAUUGCUGAAGGGGAAGCGAAUGGAACCAGUGGCGCUGGGUGAGAUUGUCACACGCUGCAGGGAUUGGUUGCUGCAUCAGCGCAAGCGAUCUAGCGACUGCUGAAUUGUAAGUGUGUGGUGUGUCUUGCCUUGUGUGUCAUUGUGGGUUUAUGCAUUAAGACAAUUCAAAGUGCAUGGCAAUAUGUUUCUGAAUCUAUGAAUGUGUUUUGUUAUGUUUAUGCAUAAGCUUCCUAUUCUAUGUCUGGCUGCAGUGCUUGCCGUCCCCAUUUUUUUGGAUAGAUGAGCUGAGCAUGCCUUCUGCACAGAUCUUGGCUAAAU
RNAcentral lists this ribosomal RNA (690 nucleotides) under Ornithocercus magnificus. RNAcentral's name for it is "LSU rRNA". It matches the Rfam family "Eukaryotic large subunit ribosomal RNA", at positions 33 to 617 of the family's 3401-position model. Lineage: Eukaryota; Dinophyceae; Dinophysales; Dinophysaceae. The record is from RNAcentral.